CAAUAUCUCACCUCAGCAAAAAAUAUAUAUAUAUAUUUCCUUAUGCAAAGCAUCUUACACAUCUUCCAGCAAAAAACAACAACAAACAAACAAACAAACAAACAAAAAAACCCCCCAAACUUCUAGAAGCCAUGGAUAAAAACAGAGUGAACUUGGAGCUGAUUAGAGUCGGAGCUUUUACCGUAACAAUCCUCAUGGCAGACAGACAGGAAAUAAACAAAAACCUGACCAAUAGUUUGAGGCCAAACUUCAAUCAGUUGUGUCCCGGUUUCUCCCUUUAGCAGAAAAGAAAAAAAAAAAAAAAAGAAAGACCUGCAAAAUAUCAAGCUGUUAUAACACGUGCGCACGGUGCCAUUUAUAGUUAUGAAUAAUAAAUAUAACAGUAUAUACUGUAAUUGCUGUCAUGCAUAUAAAAAUGGUUCAUACUGUAUACGCUCUUGCACAUAUACAAUUUGUUAAAAAUAUGCAUUCCUUCUUUCAGAUCUGAAGCAGGACAGAGACAUUCUAUCAGAGUAAAUCUUUGAAUAUAUCACGGUAAGAAAAGUUCCUACAUUAAUAUUGAAUCUGUGCUUAUGUAUCAUAUGUACAGAAAUCAUGACAAGCUUGAUUAUAUUAUGUACAGGAUAAACACUGCAGCACUGAGCAUGCUUCUGAUGUUUCCGAAAGCCACGGAUUUAAGCGGCUCUCACUGGAAAAAACUAGCCAAAUGUACAUCGACACCCCAAAACUCCCGCAUCUGUUUAAGCACUGAAGGUGUCAGUUUCAGGCUUUCCACUAGAUUCUGGAGCGUGGCCGUGGGGAUCUGUGUUCAUUCAGCUACAAGAACAAUAGUCAGGUCGGGUACUGAUGGAUGAGGAAGCCUGGGGUAUUCAGCGUUCCAGUUCAUCCCAAAGAUACACAUGAUCCUGACCUGCCUGAUCCAUCCUGAUGCCCUACAUCUGGAUGGCGCGCUCAUCAACUGGAGACUGAGGACGACCCCAAGCAGUGCAGCCUGGAGAUUGCUGAGGACGGUACCGCUUGAAGUACCAUGGAAAUGCUUUUGUACAUCAAUUCCACGUGGACGUUCUCGCUGUGGUUGCUGGAACUACGGUUGCUGUUAUGGACUUAGGACUGCAAUUCCCACCUACAAUUCUGCACUCAAGUCUCCUUUAGUGAACAGUGGAUUAGUUCAACAAACAGACUUCAUAUAAAAACCAUAACGAGCUUCAAUAGAGAUAAAUUCACACACUUAAAAUCUGUAUCCUGUGUUUAUAUAUUUCUGUAAAGCUGCUUUGAGACAAUGUCCGUUGUUAAAAGCGCUAUACAAAUAAAAUCGAAUUGAAUUGAAUUAUGAGUGGCUGGGUGACACAUACACACACACACCCUUCCCCCAUGGUCUUGUUUUGCUUGUGCCUGUGACUCCACUCGGCUGCUUAAAUAAAGAUUGACUUAAAGGACGUAUCCCACAUGUCUCCUAAAUGUAGUUGAUCAUCCAAGCCGUGUUUGGUGUCCAAAGCUUGCUCCUUUAGUUUUUCCACUUGAUCUAUGAGGCUAAUUUCACUAACAAGUAAGUCAG
This is a long non-coding RNA of Ictalurus punctatus (channel catfish), 1555 nucleotides long. NCBI's taxonomy places the organism in Eukaryota, Metazoa, Chordata, Actinopteri, Siluriformes, Ictaluridae. The record is from Ensembl.